GAGAACGAGUAGAGUGGCAGACGGGUGAGUAAUGCAUAGGUAAUCUACCUUCGAGUGGGGGAUAACUUAUCGAAAGGUGAGCUAAUCCCGCAUGAUGUGGCGACACAUAAGUGUUGCUAAUAAAGGGGGGGAUCCUUCGGGACCUCUCGCUUGAAGACGAGCCUAUGUCCUAUUAGCUUGUUGGUGGGGUAAUGGCCUACCAAGGUUAUGAUGGGUAGCCGAGCUGAGAGGCUGAUCGGCCACACUGGAACUGAAACACGGUCCAGACUCCUAUGGGAGGCAGCAGUGGGGAAUUUUGCGCAAUGGGCGAAAGCCUGACGCAGCGACGCCGCGUGAGGGAUGAAGGUCCUCGUGAUCGUAAACCUCUGUCAGGAAGGAUUAAAUGUACAGGUGUUAAUACCAUUUGUACUUGACUUAACUUCCAAAGGAAGCUCCGGCUAACUACGUGCCAGCAGCCGCGGUAAUACGUAGGGGGCUAGCGUUACUCGGAUUUAUUGGGCGUAAAGCGAAUGUAGGCGGUUGAAUAAGUCAGUGGUGAAAUCCCUCAGCUUAACUGAGGAAUUGCCAUUGAUACUGUUCGACUUGAGGACAGGAGAGGAAAGUGGAAUUCCCGGUGUAGCGGUGGAAUGCGUAGAUAUCGGGAGGAACACCAGAGGCGAAGGCGGCUUUCUGGACUGAUCCUGACGCUGAGAUUCGAAAGCUAGGGGAGCAAACAGGAUUAGAUACCCUGGUAGUCCUAGCUGUAAACGAUGGAUACUAGAUUUUGCAAAAUAUUGCUUGGUCGAAGCUAACGCGUUAAGUAUCCCGCCUGGGGAGUACGGUCGCAAGGCUGAAACUCAAAUGAAUUGAC
This 850-nucleotide ribosomal RNA is filed under the name uncultured bacterium. Its description in RNAcentral is "bacterial SSU rRNA". It matches the Rfam family "Bacterial small subunit ribosomal RNA", at positions 82 to 914 of the family's 1533-position model. The record is from RNAcentral.